UCUGAUGAAUAGUACCACUUUAAAUAGUUUCCUUCAUCCAUUGAACAAGCCCUAAUGGUUAGAAUUCAAAAACUAGCCGUUACUCACUGUUGGAAGGACAAAAAGUACUUUUGCAGAACUAGCCGUUAUGCUUCUGUCCGUGCUUGGGUCGACUCAACUUUUACUGGGGUCGAUCCAACUUUCACUUGGGUCGACUCAACCUUUCCUUGGGUCGACCCUCUCAGAACCACAGAACCUUGCAAUUCAGCCUUCACUUG
This 257-nucleotide long non-coding RNA is filed under the name Phoenix dactylifera (date palm). Its description in RNAcentral is "long non-coding RNA (PDAC_LNC012656)". Lineage: Eukaryota; Viridiplantae; Streptophyta; Magnoliopsida; Arecales; Arecaceae. The record is from RNAcentral.